CUACGGGAGGCACCAGUGGGGAAUAUUGCACAAUGGGCGCAAGCCUGAUGCAGCCAUGCCGCGUGUAUGAAGAAGGCCUUCGGGUUGUAAAGUACUUUCAGCGGGGAGGAAGGGAGUAAAGUUAAUAUCUUUGCUCAUUGACGUUACCCGCAGAAGAAGCACCGGCUAACUCCGUGCCAGCAGCCGCGGUAAUACGGAGGGUGCAAGCGUUAAUCGGAAUUACUGGGCGUAAAGCGCACGCAGGCGGUUUGUUAAGUCAGAUGUGAAAUCCCCGGGCUCAACCUGGGAACUGCAUCUGAUACUGGCAAGCUUGAGUCUCGUAGAGGGGGGUAGAAUUCCAGGUGUAGCGGUGAAAUGCGUAGAGAUCUGGAGGAAUACCGGUGGCGAAGGCGACCCCCUGGACGAAGACUGACGCUCAGGUGCGAAAGCGUGGGGAGCAAACAGGAUUAGAUACCCUUGUAGUC
Molecule: ribosomal RNA, 464 nt
Filed under: uncultured bacterium
Lineage: Bacteria
Description: partial 16S ribosomal RNA
Rfam family: Bacterial small subunit ribosomal RNA
Source: RNAcentral